CACGUAGGGUGCAAGCGUUGUCCGGAAUUAUUGGGCGUAAAGAGCUCGUAGGCGGUUUGUCGCGUCUGCUGUGAAAACCCGAGGCUCAACCUCGGGCCUGCAGUGGGUACGGGCAGACUAGAGUGCGGUAGGGGAGAUUGGAAUUCCUGGUGUAGCGGUGGAAUGCGCAGAUAUCAGGAGGAACACCGAUGGCGAAGGCAGAUCUCUGGGCCGUAACUGACGCUGAGGAGCGAAAGCAUGGGGAGCGAACAGG
This 253-nucleotide ribosomal RNA is filed under the name uncultured bacterium. RNAcentral describes it as "partial 16S ribosomal RNA". It matches the Rfam family "Bacterial small subunit ribosomal RNA", at positions 524 to 776 of the family's 1533-position model. The record is from RNAcentral.